This 983-nucleotide unclassified non-coding RNA is filed under the name Hevea brasiliensis (rubber tree). The record is from RNAcentral. Lineage: Eukaryota; Viridiplantae; Streptophyta; Magnoliopsida; Malpighiales; Euphorbiaceae.
GCCAGAGUAGAGCUCGUGAAAAAGAGCAUCAAUUGGUGGAGUGAGGAAUGGUCCUGGUAGAGCUCGUGAUAAAGAGCAUCAAUUGGUGAAGUGAGGAAUAGUCCCAGAAGACAAAGUGGCCUUGGCAGCCGGAGCAGGUUCAACGGUUGGCGAAGGGGUCACAGGCUUUCCCAAAAGCUCAGCAGGCAAAUCAGGUAUCCCCUUCAAAUAGAAAGUAUAAAAAAGCUUGAAAGGAAAUACUAUUUGCUUUAGCUUCACCUGUCCAUAUACUCCUUCAAAGAUCCCAGACCCACCAGUCACUGCCAAAUACGUAUCCUCAUACGUUAGAUAUGCUCCUUGCACAGAUAUGUGCCCAUAAUCACCCAAGUAGAAGCUGUAUGUUGCUUCGUAUCUAUCACCUUUCUUUUCUGCCACGUGCUGGAUAAGCACACAUAGACCAGCAGUAAUACCUAAUCUCUUCUUUAAGUCUCCAGAGUAGAGCUUGUUGGUGAAGGGCACUAGGUCACCCAGAGAUGAUUCUGGUUUUUUACUCAGUUUUAGGACUGCUGGGCUGUCUCUAUCUCGCUCGUUGAUUUCAUACACAUUUAGUUCUUGAACUUUCGUUGGCUCUCGAGAUUCUGGUGAGAACUUAGGUUUGUUGAAGGAGAAAGCUGUAGUGGCAAUGCUCUUGGAGCUUCUUCUUGAUGAGAAAUAAUAUUCCUGAUGAGAUGUGGAGAGUUUCAACUUUUGGAUUGAAAAGGCAUGUGAGUGAACAAAACCCAGUUGUUUUGGUGACUGAAAAAAUGAUGAGUUGGAUUUUAGGUUGGGGAAUUUGAGAGAAGAAGUUGGCUUGAGAGAGCUUGAAGAGGCCAUUGAUGGCAGAUGAGAUAGCUUGAGAAAAGGAUGAAUUAAUUUAAGAUGCCUAACAGAUGCAAGUAGAUAUAUCCACAAUUCAAAUGAAGGAAUGGUAGACAAGCAUCGUUAUAGGCAUAAAAAGAUUAAGG